GCUGGGCAUAAUGGCACACACCAAUAAGCCUAUCUACUCUGGAGUCUGAGGCAGGAGGAUUGCUAGAGCCCAGGAGUUUUGGGCUAGAGUGUGCUAUGUUGUUCAAGUGUCCACACUAAGUUCAGCAUCAAUAUGGUGACCUCCUGGAAGGGAGGAACCACCAGGUUGCCUAAGUGGAGGUGAACCGGCCCAGGUCAAAACAGAGCAGGUCAGUAGCAGGAUCAUGCCUGUGAAUAGCUACUGUGCUCCAGCCUGGGCAACAUAGUGAGACGCCAUCUCU
This 280-nucleotide signal recognition particle RNA is filed under the name Microcebus murinus (gray mouse lemur). RNAcentral describes it as "Metazoan signal recognition particle RNA (ENSMICG00000038562.2)". It matches the Rfam family "Metazoan signal recognition particle RNA". Rfam says of the family: The signal recognition particle (SRP) is a universally conserved ribonucleoprotein. It is involved in the co-translational targeting of proteins to membranes. The record is from RNAcentral. Lineage: Eukaryota; Metazoa; Chordata; Mammalia; Primates; Cheirogaleidae.